Molecule: ribosomal RNA, 673 nt
Filed under: Bacillus sp. SC8s4
Lineage: Bacteria; Bacillati; Bacillota; Bacilli; Caryophanales; Bacillaceae
Description: bacterial SSU rRNA
Rfam family: Bacterial small subunit ribosomal RNA
Source: RNAcentral
AGGCGGACGGGUGAGUAACACGUGGGCAACCUGCCUAUAAGACUGGGAUAACUUCGGGAAACCGGAGCUAAUACCGGAUACGUUCUUUUCUCGCAUGAGAGAAGAUGGAAAGACGGUUUACGCUGUCACUUAUAGAUGGGCCCGCGGCGCAUUAGCUAGUUGGUGAGGUAAUGGCUCACCAAGGCGACGAUGCGUAGCCGACCUGAGAGGGUGAUCGGCCACACUGGGACUGAGACACGGCCCAGACUCCUACGGGAGGCAGCAGUAGGGAAUCUUCCGCAAUGGACGAAAGUCUGACGGAGCAACGCCGCGUGAACGAAGAAGGCCUUCGGGUCGUAAAGUUCUGUUGUUAGGGAAGAACAAGUACCAGAGUAACUGCUGGUACCUUGACGGUACCUAACCAGAAAGCCACGGCUAACUACGUGCCAGCAGCCGCGGUAAUACGUAGGUGGCAAGCGUUGUCCGGAAUUAUUGGGCGUAAAGCGCGCGCAGGUGGUUCCUUAAGUCUGAUGUGAAAGCCCACGGCUCAACCGUGGAGGGUCAUUGGAAACUGGGGAACUUGAGUGCAGAAGAGGAAAGUGGAAUUCCAAGUGUAGCGGUGAAAUGCGUAGAGAUUUGGAGGAACACCAGUGGCGAAGGCGACUUUCUGGUCUGUAACUGACACUGAGGCGCG